GACGAACGCUGGCGGCGUGCUUAACACAUGCAAGUCGAACGGACAGACAGAGAGCUUGCUCUCUUGAAGUUAGUGGCGAACGGGUGAGUAACGCGUAAUCAACCUGCCCUUCAGAGGGGGAUAACAACGGGAAACCGUUGCUAAUACCGCGUACGAUUCAUGAACGGCAUCGUUUAUGAAUGAAAGGUGGCCUCUAUGUAUAAGCUAUCGCUGAAGGAGGGGAUUGCGUCUGAUUAGCUAGUUGGAGGGGUAACGGCCCACCAAGGCAAUGAUCAGUAGCCGGGCUGAGAGGAGGAACGGCCACAUUGGGACUGAGACACGGCCCAAACUCCUACGUGAGGCAGCAGUGGGGAAUCUUCCGCAAUGGACGAAAGUCUGACGGAGCAACGCCGCGUGAGUGAUGAAGGUCUUCGGAUUGUAAAGCUCUGUUAAUCGGGACGAAAGAGUUCUGCGUGAGUAAUGCAGAAAAGUGACGGUACCGGAAUAGAAAGCCACGGCUAACUACGUGCCAGCCGCCGCAGUAA
RNAcentral lists this ribosomal RNA (524 nucleotides) under uncultured bacterium. Its description in RNAcentral is "partial 16S ribosomal RNA". It matches the Rfam family "Bacterial small subunit ribosomal RNA", at positions 28 to 523 of the family's 1533-position model. The record is from RNAcentral.